GAUGAACGCUGGCGGCGUGCUUACACAUGCAAGUCGAACGAAGCAUUUAGGACAGAUUACUUCGGUUUGAAGUUCUUUAUGACUGAGUGGCGGACGGGUGAGUAACGCGUGGGUAACCUGCCUUGUACUGGGGGAUAGCAGCUGGAAACGGCUGGUAAUACCGCAUAAGCGCACAAUGUUGCAUGACAUGGUGUGAAAAACUCCGGUGGUAUAAGAUGGACCCGCGUCUGAUUAGCUAGUUGGUGAGAUAACAGCCCACCAAGGCGACGAUCAGUAGCCGACCUGAGAGGGUGACCGGCCACAUUGGGACUGAGACACGGCCCAGACUCCUACGGGAGUCAGCAGUGGGGAAUAUUGCACAAUGGAGGAAACUCUGAUGCAGCGACGCCGCGUGAGUGAAGAAGUAAUUCGUUAUGUAAAGCUCUAUCAGCAGGGAAGAUAGUGACGGUACCUGACUAAGAAGCUCCGGCUAAAUACGU
This 479-nucleotide ribosomal RNA is filed under the name uncultured bacterium. RNAcentral describes it as "partial 16S ribosomal RNA". It matches the Rfam family "Bacterial small subunit ribosomal RNA", at positions 28 to 506 of the family's 1533-position model. The record is from RNAcentral.